CUUGUCUCUGCUUAGAUAACCUCAACAUGGUUCUUCUUCCCAACAGAAUAAAAUGAUGGAGCUUUUCUCCACCAGACUAGACCUCCUCCACAGCCACCAGGCAUCCACACUACAGGAGCUGCAGAUGGCCAGGCAGGAGGUGGGGAAAGUCCAGGAGAUUCUCAGGACAUCCCCACAGGAGAAGGGGCAACAGGAAGCCCCUCCUACUGAUGCUGGUGACAUAUUAGAGAAUGACAACAGUCCCGUCCAGCAAACUGAGGGGUGCAGUGGCACAGAGCUGCCACUGGAGGGGGCCCAAGCUCGCCUGGAGGAGUUGAAGGAGAGUCUGUAUAAAAGGGAGAGAGAGAUUACUGAGCUCCUGGAGGCAGAGCAGACACCCAUCCCACCUAUCCCGGUGGCACAGCCCCCCUGUGCUGUCCUGCUCCGCAUUGUCGUUGAGAAGGCCCAUGAUAUCUGUAGCGAAGUGAUUGAGGCGAGGCUCCUUGUUGACCACAUGUUCGAGGAGAACCAUGUGGCCUUGGCCCAAGCAAGAGAAAAACUUGACCAUAUGUCACAGAUGACCGCAGAUGAUAACAACAGCAAAGACGAGGUCAACUCUGCCCCAGAAUGGUUGGACUCUUCCGAUGAGUAUGCAUCUAAUGUGCUGUUGCUACAAGAGACACUGAGGGAAUGUGAGAUUACCCAGAUGGCUCU
Long non-coding RNA from Oncorhynchus tshawytscha (Chinook salmon), 693 nucleotides. NCBI's taxonomy places the organism in Eukaryota, Metazoa, Chordata, Actinopteri, Salmoniformes, Salmonidae. The record is from Ensembl.